This 337-nucleotide unclassified non-coding RNA is filed under the name soil metagenome. RNAcentral describes it as "partial contains 5.8S ribosomal RNA, internal transcribed spacer 2, and large subunit ribosomal RNA". The stretch from base 1 to 120 matches the Rfam family "5.8S ribosomal RNA", at positions 35 to 154 of the family's 154-position model. The record is from RNAcentral.
GAUGAAGAACGCAGCGAAAUGCGAUAAGUAAUGUGAAUUGCAGAAUUCCGUGAAUCAUCGAAUCUUUGAACGCACAUUGCGCCCCCUGGCAUUCCGGGGGGCAUGCCUGUCCGAGCGUCAUUUCUGCCCUCAAGCACGGCUUGUGUGUUGGGUGUGGUCCCCCCGGGGACCUGCCCGAAAGGCAGCGGCGACGUCCGUCUUGUCCUCGAGCGUAUGGGGCUCUGUCACUCGCUCGGGAAGGACCUGCGGGGGUUGGUCACCACUAUAUUUUACCACGGUUGACCUCGGAUCAGGUAGGAGUUACCCGCUGAACUUAAGCAUAUCAAUAAGCGGAGGA